Molecule: non-coding RNA, 180 nt
Filed under: Alkalihalobacillus sp. MEB130
Lineage: Bacteria; Bacillati; Bacillota; Bacilli; Caryophanales; Bacillaceae
Description: 6S RNA
Rfam family: 6S / SsrS RNA
About the family: E. coli 6S RNA was the first non coding RNA to be sequenced, but its function was unknown until recently. It consists of 184 nucleotides that fold into an extended hairpin structure with a large single-stranded internal bulge.
Source: RNAcentral
UAGAAGCUGCUUUGUACGCAAACAAUGGUUUCAACCUGUAUAUGUAACGAGGGAGUUUAAAUGAAUCGAACAGAUGUCAAGCCUUCAAUAAGUAGAGGAAGACAGAAAUCGUUUCGCAAACACCCACUUUAGAAGUGGUGGUUUGGAACUCAGUUAAGUAGCGACAAAUGCGGCCCCUAU